RNAcentral lists this ribosomal RNA (503 nucleotides) under uncultured bacterium. Its description in RNAcentral is "partial 16S ribosomal RNA". It matches the Rfam family "Bacterial small subunit ribosomal RNA", at positions 28 to 523 of the family's 1533-position model. The record is from RNAcentral.
GAUGAACGCUAGCGGCAGGCCUAACACAUGCAAGUCGAGGGGUAGCAGGAUUAAGCUUGCUUAAUUGCUGACGACCGGCGCACGGGUGCGUAACGCGUAUGCAACCUACCUUAUACUGGGGUAUAGCCCGGAGAAAUUCGGAUUAAUCCCCCAUAGUACUAAUGAAUCGCAUGGUUUAUUAGUUAAAGCAUUGCGGUAUGAGAGGGGCAUGCGUCCUAUUAGCUAGAUGGUGAGGUAACGGCUCACCAUGGCUACGAUAGGUAGGGGGCCUGAGAGGGUGGUCCCCCACACUGGUACUGAGACACGGACCAGACUCCUACGGGCGGCAGCAGUGAGGAAUAUUGGUCAAUGGGCGCAAGCCUGAACCAGCCAUGCCGCGUGCAGGAAGAAUGCCCUAUGGGUUGUAAACUGCUUUUAUUUGGGAAUAAACCUCUUUACGUGUAGAGAGCUGAAGGUACCAAAUGAAUAAGCACCGGCUAACUCCGUGCCAGCCGCCGCUGUAA